This 484-nucleotide ribosomal RNA is filed under the name uncultured bacterium. RNAcentral describes it as "partial 16S ribosomal RNA". It matches the Rfam family "Bacterial small subunit ribosomal RNA", at positions 30 to 507 of the family's 1533-position model. The record is from RNAcentral.
AUUGAACGCUGGCGGCAGGCCUAACACAUGCAAGUCGAGCGGAUGAAGGGAGCUUGCUCCUGGAUUCAGCGGCGGACGGGUGAGUAAUGCCUAGGAAUCUGCCUGGUAGUGGGGGAUAACGUCCGGAAACGGGCGCUAAUACCGCAUACGUCCUGAGGGAGAAAGUGGGGGAUCUUCGGACCUCACGCUAUCAGAUGAGCCUAGGUCGGAUUAGCUAGUUGGUGGGGUAACGGCCUACCAAGGCGACGAUCCGUAACUGGUCUGAGAGGAUGAUCAGUCACACGGGAACUGAGACACGGUCCAGACUCCUACGGGAGGCAGCAGUGGGGAAUAUUGGACAAUGGGCGAAAGCCUGAUCCAGCCAUGCCGCGUGUGUGAAGAAGGUCUUCGGAUUGUAAAGCACUUUAAGUUGGGAGGAAGGGCAGUAAGUUAAUACCUGGCUGUUUUGACGGUACCAACAGAAUAAGCACCGGCUAACUUCGUG